GUAGGUGGCAAGCGUUGCCCCGGAAUUAUUGGGCGUAAAGCGCGCGCAGGCGGUUCUUUAAGUCUGAUGUGAAAGCCCACGGGCUCAACCGUGGAGGGUCAUUGGAAACUGGAGAACUUGAGUACAGAAGAGGAAAGCGGAAUUCCACGUGUAGCGGUGAAAUGCGUAGAGAUGUGGAGGAACACCAGUGGCGAAGGCGGCUUUCUGGUCUGUAACUGACGCUGAGGCGCGAAAGCGUGGGGAGCAAACAGGAUUAGAUACCCUGGUAGUCCACGCCGUAAACGAUGAGUGCUAAGUGUUAGGGGGUUUCCGCCCCUUAGUGCUGCAGCUAACGCAUUAAGCACUCCGCCUGGGGAGUACGACCGCAAGGUUG
Molecule: ribosomal RNA, 373 nt
Filed under: uncultured organism
Description: partial 16S ribosomal RNA
Rfam family: Bacterial small subunit ribosomal RNA
Source: RNAcentral